UACGGGGGGGGCAAGCGUUGUUCGGAAUUACUGGGCGUAAAGGGCUCGUAGGUGGCCAACUAAGUCAGACGUGAAAUCCCUCGGCUCAACCGGGGAACUGCGUCUGAUACUGGCGGGCUUGAAUCCGGGAGAGGGAUGCGGAAUUCCAGGUGUAGCGGUGAAAUGCGUAGAUAUCUGGAGGAACACCGGUGGCGAAGGCGGCAUCCUGGACCGGCAUUGACGCUGAGGCGCGAAAGCUAGGGGAGCAAACGGG
Molecule: ribosomal RNA, 253 nt
Filed under: uncultured bacterium
Lineage: Bacteria
Description: partial 16S ribosomal RNA
Rfam family: Bacterial small subunit ribosomal RNA
Source: RNAcentral